RNAcentral lists this unclassified non-coding RNA (221 nucleotides) under fungal sp. Its description in RNAcentral is "partial internal transcribed spacer region". The stretch from base 1 to 46 matches the Rfam family "Eukaryotic small subunit ribosomal RNA", at positions 1786 to 1831 of the family's 1831-position model. The record is from RNAcentral. Lineage: Eukaryota; Fungi. RNAcentral also lists the same sequence under 1 other name.
AAGUCGUAACAAGGUAACCGUAGGUGAACCUGCGGUUGGAUCAUUAAAGUAAAUGAGAGGAAUCUCAGAUUUGAUUGUCGUAAAGACAUGAGAAUCAUCACCUAUUGGCUUAGUUACUGGUUUAAAACCCUUUGGCUAACCAAUUGUGUAAACGUCAUUUGAUUCUUGGUAGAAUAAAAGUUUUAAUUAUACAACUUUUGACAACGGAUCUCUUGGCUCUC